This 305-nucleotide ribosomal RNA is filed under the name uncultured bacterium. Its description in RNAcentral is "bacterial SSU rRNA". It matches the Rfam family "Bacterial small subunit ribosomal RNA", at positions 334 to 636 of the family's 1533-position model. The record is from RNAcentral.
AGGUCCUACGGGACGCAGCAGUGAGGAAUAUUGGUCAAUGGGCGGAAGCCUGAACCAGCCAAGUCGCGUGAGGGAAGAAGGCCCUGCGGGUCGCAGACCUCUUUGGACGGGGAGCAAGGCCGCCGACGUGUCGGCGGAAGGAGAGUACCCGUAGAACAAGCAUCGGCUAACUCCGUGCCAGCAGCCGCGGUAAUACGGAGGAUGCGAGCGUUAUCCGGAUUUAUUGGGUUUAAAGGGUGCGCAGGCGGCACGGCAAGCCGGCGGUCAAAUCGCGGGGCUCAACCCCGUCGAGCCGUUGAAACUGG